Molecule: transfer RNA, 71 nt
Filed under: bacterium
Lineage: Bacteria
Also listed under: 1 other name
Description: tRNA-Cys
Rfam family: tRNA
About the family: Transfer RNA (tRNA) molecules are approximately 80 nucleotides in length. Their secondary structure includes four short double-helical elements and three loops (D, anti-codon, and T loops). Further hydrogen bonds mediate the characteristic L-shaped molecular structure. tRNAs have two regions of fundamental functional importance: the anti-codon, which is responsible for specific mRNA codon recognition, and the 3' end, to which the tRNAs corresponding amino acid is attached (by aminoacyl-tRNA synthetases). tRNAs cope with the degeneracy of the genetic code in two manners: having more than one tRNA (with a specific anti-codon) for a particular amino acid; and 'wobble' base-pairing, i.e. permitting non-standard base-pairing at the 3rd anti-codon position.
Source: RNAcentral
GGUUCCGUGGCCGAGGGGUUAGGCACCGGUCUGCAAAACCGUUUACACCAGUUCGACUCUGGUCGGAACCU